RNAcentral lists this ribosomal RNA (464 nucleotides) under uncultured bacterium. RNAcentral's name for it is "bacterial SSU rRNA". It matches the Rfam family "Bacterial small subunit ribosomal RNA", at positions 917 to 1382 of the family's 1533-position model. The record is from RNAcentral.
GGGCCCGCACAAGCGGUGGAGCAUGUGGUUUAAUUCGAUGCAACGCGAAGAACCUUACCUGGGUUUGACAUCCCCAGACAGCCCUAGAGAUAGGGUUUCCCCUUCGGGGGCUGGGAGACAGGUGCUGCAUGGCUGUCGUCAGCUCGUAUCGUGAGAUGUCGGGUUAAGUCCCUUAACGAGCGCAACCCUUAUCCCUAGUUGCCAUCAUUCAGUUGGGCACUCUAUGGAGACUGCCGGUGUUAAACCGGAGGAAGGCGGGGAUGACGUCAAGUCCUCAUGGCCUUUAUAUCCAGGGCUACACACGUGCUACAAUGGCCGGUACAAAGGGUCGCCAACCCGCAAGGGGGAGCUAAUCUCAGAAAGCCGGUCUCAGUUCGGAUUGAAGUCUGCAAUUCGACUUCAUGAAGCUGGAAUCGCUAGUAAUCGCGGAUCAGAACGCCGCGGUGAAUACGUUCCCGGGCCUU